Bubalus bubalis (water buffalo) is the source of this 361-nucleotide long non-coding RNA. RefSeq lists it as uncharacterized. The transcript has 2 exons. Lineage: Eukaryota; Metazoa; Chordata; Mammalia; Artiodactyla; Bovidae. The record is from RefSeq and is a predicted model, not a curated record.
CGCGUGCGCACGCGCUGCAGGCGCGCGGCCAGAGGGUGGUGUGCUCGGGGCGCGCGGGCACCCUGAGGCCCCCUCCAUCGGCUGCUGCGCCUCAGCGUGCUUCUCUGCCUGUUCCGCCUGCUCGCGGCACUUGGCCAGCCCCGGCAGGCGGGAGACCUGCAGCCCCGGGCUAGCGUCCCGCAGCCUGACCUUCCGAGCUGCAGCUAUAAAGGCAAGAGGUAGACUACAACACAUUUCUGCAAGGACAACAUUUUAUCCUUAAACUUCAGCACACUGGAUGGUCAAGAACAAUUGGCUACAUACAUUCUUUUUCUUCUGUGAGAUUUGGCCUGCUCACAUAUAAAUGGCAUUUAUAAUGUUG